AAUUGUUAUCGUUUUGUAUCCUCCCAACAACGGCUAUAUUCACCACCGCCCCCGCCCAACGGUACAUUUCUCUCACAAAAUUGAUUCAAGUGUUCCCGUUACAUCUUUCUAUCCUCCUCUCUCCUCAUUACGAUUAAGCUCUCACAUCCGCUUUCUGCCUAUCGCUCUCUGAAAAGUUUUGGUUAGGGUUUCUCUCUCUCUAGAAUGGACAGUGGGAGUGAAGGGCUUCAUCAGAUGAACUGCUAAGGAAAUUUGCGGAAGGGGGUUCGGGAUCCAAAGACAAGGCCACCGCGAAGAAAGAGCUUUCGCAGUUGGCAAAACGACGCCGCUACCACCGGAAAAAAAUCACCGGAGAAAAUGACGAUGUGAGAGCCCCUCCACCUCCUCCUUAAGCCGCCGGGCCACCAGUUUGGUUGAGAGGAAAUCGUUUCUUCCUGCUGUGGCGGCAUCCACCCCACCCGGAUGUCGUCUGCGCUGAUUCGGCGGCUGGGGAUUGGGAGGUCAAGAACAUGUCCAUUUUCGCCACAAUUGACAAGCUUGUUCAUCCGGCCUACCAAUCCAUGUUAGGACACAUAAGGUCGGGAACUCUGGAUAGAUUCAAAGACGCAUUUCAUAAAGCUUUAAAUAGAGGGGAUGAGUUUUCUGUAGCUGCUUAUGAUUGCACUGAGUCUUUCACGUCUCUAUUUGAUGAAGGAUGUGCAGGAAACUUUCACCAGAGUAAAUGUUCCCAAAGAGUGGCUGCGAUGAUUUUUUCCACGGCGAAGCAUGGCUGGUAUUAAGGGCGAUACAUGUUAGAUUAGCACAAUACAUGGCGUAAAACAGUUGACAGGGCUUCAAAGGUCUUCUUGGAGAUGCAUUACAAUUGGCACAAGCGCUUGACAAAUGAUAUUGCUUAGACCAUGCUAUUUCACACUGGAAAUUUUUAUCAGACCUGGCGUGUUGGGAAGGAAGGUUUGGCCCUUGUGCACUACUAGCGUCUAACUUAUAUUUACUUAUUCUUGUAUAUGUAUUUUAUCACCACAGCAAAAUAAUUGUUGUAUUUUGUGUCAUACAAAUUAAGUUUUUUGCCCUCAAAGUUGUCUUUUAUGGAGCUGUGUGAUUUAAAUUGGUAAUCCAAUUUUCCCAUUAUGAUUUAUAAAAUUCAGUAAACAUUUUGAAGUGGAAAUUUUUAUUUGACCUGGCGUGUGGUGGAAGGAAAGCUUGGUCCUUGUGCGCUUCUAGCAUCCAACUUAUAUUUACUAUUCUUGUAUAGGUAUUUGUAUCACCACAACGAAAUAAUUGUUGUAUUUUGUGUCAUACAAAUUAAGUUUUUUGCCCUCAAAGUUGUCUUUUAUGGAGCUGUGUGAUUUAAAUUGGUAAUCCAAUUUUCCCAUUAUGAUUUAUAAAAUUCAGUAAACAUUUUGAAGUGGAAAUUUUUAUUUGACCUGGCGUGUGGUGGAAGGAAAGCUUGGUCCUUGUGCGCUUCUAGCAUCCAACUUAUAUUUACUAUUCUUGUAUAGGUAUUUGUAUCACCACAACGAAAUAAUUGUUGUAUUUUGUGUCAUACAAAUUAAGUUUUUUGCCCUCAAAGUUGUCUUUUAUGGAGCUGUGUGAUUUAAAUUGGUAAUCCAAUUUUCCCAUUAUGAUUUAUAAAAUUCAGUAAACAUUUUGAAGUGGAAAUUUUUAUUUGACCUGGCGUGUGGUGGAAGGAAAGCUUGGUCCUUGUGCGCUUCUAGCAUCCAACUUAUAUUUACUAUUCUUGUAUAGGUAUUUGUAUCACCACAACGAAAUAAUUGUUGUAUUUUGUGUCAUACAAAUUAAGUUUUUUGCCCUCAAAGUUGUCUUUUAUGGAGCUGUGUGAUUUAAAUUGGUAAUCCAAUUUUCCCAUUAUGAUUUAUAAAAUUCAGUAAACAUUUUGAAGUGGAAAUUUUUAUUUGACCUGGCGUGUGGUGGAAGGAAAGCUUGGUCCUUGUGCGCUUCUAGCAUCCAACUUAUAUUUACUAUUCUUGUAUAGGUAUUUGUAUCACCACAACGAAAUAAUUGUUGUAUUUUGUGUCAUAUAAAUUAAGUUCUGCCCUCAAAGUUGU
Molecule: non-coding RNA, 2066 nt
Organism: Camellia sinensis
Lineage: Eukaryota; Viridiplantae; Streptophyta; Magnoliopsida; Ericales; Theaceae
Source: RefSeq, a predicted model, not a curated record